GACGAUCUCCAUCCUUAGCCACUGCCACAUAAGCGAUAGGGCCUGUAGCUCAGAGGAUUAGAGCACGUGGCUACGAACCACGGUGUCGGGGGUUCAAAUCCCUCCUCGCCCAC
This 113-nucleotide transfer RNA is filed under the name Helianthus annuus (common sunflower). RNAcentral describes it as "hypothetical non coding rna". The stretch from base 39 to 112 matches the Rfam family "tRNA". Rfam says of the family: Transfer RNA (tRNA) molecules are approximately 80 nucleotides in length. Their secondary structure includes four short double-helical elements and three loops (D, anti-codon, and T loops). Further hydrogen bonds mediate the characteristic L-shaped molecular structure. tRNAs have two regions of fundamental functional importance: the anti-codon, which is responsible for specific mRNA codon recognition, and the 3' end, to which the tRNAs corresponding amino acid is attached (by aminoacyl-tRNA synthetases). tRNAs cope with the degeneracy of the genetic code in two manners: having more than one tRNA (with a specific anti-codon) for a particular amino acid; and 'wobble' base-pairing, i.e. permitting non-standard base-pairing at the 3rd anti-codon position. The record is from RNAcentral. Lineage: Eukaryota; Viridiplantae; Streptophyta; Magnoliopsida; Asterales; Asteraceae.